Molecule: long non-coding RNA, 1359 nt
Filed under: Volvox carteri
Lineage: Eukaryota; Viridiplantae; Chlorophyta; Chlorophyceae; Chlamydomonadales; Volvocaceae
Description: long non-coding RNA (VCAR_LNC003989)
Source: RNAcentral
GCCUAGUCCCCCUCUGGUCUAAGGCCCUGAAGGUUGUCAGUCCCCAUCCCCUUUAGGGGAUGGGUUCCCCUUCUUGUUCUUCUUCUUCCCCUAAAGGGGAACUAAAGGGGAACCCCUACGUCUUCCCCGAAGGGGAACCCCUUCUUCCCCUUUAGGGGACUCCGUCCCCUUUAGUUCCCCGUAGGGGAUGAAGAAGGGUAACACCCCUUCGUCUCCGUCCCCUUUAGGGGAAGAAGGGAACACCCCUUUGGUUCAUCCCCUUUAGUUCCCCUUUGGGGAAGAACUAAAGGGGUGAAAACGAAGGGGAAGAGCACUAAAGUGUUCUUCUUCCCCUAAAGGGGAACUAAAGGGGAACCCCUUUAGUUCCCCUUUAGGGGAUGAACUCCCCUACGGUUCCCCUUUAGGGGAUGAACUCCCCUACGGUUCCCCUUUAGGGGAUGAAGAAGGGUAAGACGAAGGGGUUCCCCUUCGGGGAUGAACCGAAGGGUUUCAUCUUCUUUAGUUCCCCUUUAGGGGAUGAACAAAGAAGAUGAAAAACCCUACUUGACGAAGUUUGUUGUCAUCCCCCUUUGGUUCCCCUUUAGGGGAUGAACUAAAGGGGGAUGCCUCAAACUUCGGUUUCCCCUUCGGUUCUCAUCCCCUAAAGGGGAACCAAAGGGUUGUCCCCUUUGUUCUACAUCCCCUAAAGUUCAUCCCCGAAGGGGAACCCCUUCGUCUUCUUCCCCGAAGGGGAAGAAGAACUAAAGGGGAUGGUAUUCCCCUUCGGGGAGCCAAAAAGGGGGGGGGGCGGAAACCAGAGGGGACAAGGGAUGAGCCGAAGGGGGAGAACCAAAGAAGAUGAACCGAAGGGUGUUCAUCCCCUAAAGGGGAACUAAAGGGGAAGACAAGGAAAGCCUUACGGCUAAUUCCAUUGUAAUUUAAUGUAAUCUUAUUACAAUCGCCUUACGGCUAAUUAUAUUCCAAUAUAGCUUGUGAGGACCCGUCAGGAUGGUGCAGGUUGAUGCUUACUAAAGCAUAGCUCCUACGCAGCAAGAGCUGGUAGCAGCAAAGUAAAUCUUUAAUGUUAACAGCUUGUUUCUGCUUCUCGUAGAGAACUCCCAAAAAUCAGAAAAAUUUUUAAAAAAUAAAAAGAGUUAAAGAUAUAGUCCAAAUUGGGGAUUGGUUAUUAAUAUUAGAAAACUAUUGAUCUACCUUUUAUCUUGUUUAAAGAAGCAGCAGAGUAUACUUUUUAAUGGGGGUGUAACGCAUUCUUAAACAGUUUAUUCAAUCGUUUUAAAACAUAAUAACAUAAGACCUUCCCCAGNACCACAUCCACGCUUUCACGAUUCACGUAACUGUGCUAAUUCUUCUGAAAGGNNN